UAUAGUGUUUUUUAUCUGUACUGGAGGACCUUGAUAGCCAUUUAUUUUCAGCUUUCAAUCUUGCAGUUUAUUAUGUAAUCUGCAAAUUGUAAUUACUGGCUAAUUAAUGAGCUCCUAUUUCUUUCUCUAGGGUUCUCUAUAAAGGUGUCUUAAAAAGGUUGAUUUUGUUAUAUGAGUCUUUGUUUGGAUUGCUUCAAGAGGUCGCUAGGAUUCAACCAAUGCCUUACUUCAAAGAUUUUACCUUUCCUUCUGAUAUCACUGAAUUUUUAGGACAGCCAUAUUUUGAAGCCUUUAAGAAAAAAAUGCCUACAGCUUUUGCAGCUAAAGGAAUAAAUAAAUUGCUAAAUAAACUGUUUUUAAUAAAUGAGCAGUCACCAAGAGCCAGUGAAGAAACCUUACUUGGAAUUUCAAAAAAAGCUAAACAAAUGAAGAUCAAUGUACAGAAUAACGUGGAUCUUGGACAGCCAGUAAAGAAUAAGAGAGUCUUCAAAGAAAAGUCAUCAGAAUUUGAUGUGAGGGCUUUCUGCAACCAGCUGAAACACAAAGCUACUCAGGAGACCAGUUUUGAUUUUAAAUAUUCUCAAUCCAGACUAAAGACAACCAAGUAUUCUUCUCAGAAAGUGAUAGGAACUCCUCAUGCCAAAAGUUUUGUGCAAAGAUUCCGAGAGGCUGAGUCCUUCACACAACUUUCUGAAGAAAUCCAGAUGGCAGUUGUAUGGUGCAGGAGCAAAAAACUCAAGGCUCAGGCCAUUUUUCUGGGUAACAAACUUCUUAAAAGCAACCGGCUUAAACAUCUGGAAGCUCAAGGUACUAG
Molecule: small RNA, 814 nt
Filed under: Pan troglodytes (chimpanzee)
Lineage: Eukaryota; Metazoa; Chordata; Mammalia; Primates; Hominidae
Description: retained intron
Source: RNAcentral